This 971-nucleotide unclassified non-coding RNA is filed under the name Hevea brasiliensis (rubber tree). Lineage: Eukaryota; Viridiplantae; Streptophyta; Magnoliopsida; Malpighiales; Euphorbiaceae. The record is from RNAcentral.
AGAUUUCUCUGCACCUGCUGGCUCCUGCUGCUCGCAUCUCUCCGCCCUGAGAAGUGGAUCUCUCUCAUUUCUCAGGCCAAUAUCCGGUCUGAUCUGUGAUCAGGAUAAUGAAUUUUCUGCAGCGGUAUACUAGUGCUACCCACAACGUGGUGACUGAACAAGUUCCUGUACAUGAACCUCCUGCAGACUCGCGUUAUGCCUCAAAACCAUCAGCAACUUUGGAGGGUCUUAUAGCUGAAGAUCCAUUCCUCCAGUCUCCUCCAGCUGAAGGUCAUGGUGGAGAGGCUCAGGCAACUGGAGAUGAAAAUGGCACUGUUGGUGGUGUGAGCUCAAAGAAUUACUCUUUUGCAAUGGAGAACCACUUAGAUGUUUCUGAAGGAGAAGGAUGGAUCACUAUUCCACAUGGGGAACUUCCUGAUGGUUGGAAUAAUGCUCCGGAUAUACGUUCAUUACGCUCCCUGGAUCGGUCAUUUGUUUUCCCUGGUGAGCAAGUUCAUAUCCUGUCAUGUUUGUCAGCAUAUAAGCAAGAUACAGAAAUUAUUACUCCAUUUAAAGUUGCUGCAGUCAUGUCUAAAAAUGGCAUUGGACAAGACCCUGAAAAACAAAAUGGGAAUGCAAAAGAAGGAACAAGUUCGGUAUCUGGAGAAGGUGAAGUGAGUACUGAUGGUCAAGUUAUAGACCAAAAUGGCAAUGAGCCAUCAAAAAAGGAGAUUGAUCUACAAAAGGAUAUUUCUGCCAGUGAAUCCAUUCUCAGAAUGGAAGAUCACAAAAGACAAACUGAAAUGUUAUUGCAAAGAUUUAGGAACUCUCACUUUUUUGUUAGGAUUGCAGAGUCAGGGGAGCCACUUUGGUCAAAAAAAGGUGCGUCUGAUCCGAAAUCUUCUGAACUGGAUGAUCAGAACUCCAGUGAAAAUGAAAAAAAAACUGCAAAUAACAUGUCCCAACUUGGUGCUCUUAUUGAUAGAGGAGAU